UUAGGAAUAUUGGACAAUGGGCGCAAGCCUGAUCCAGCCAUGCCGCGUGAGUGAUGAAGGCCUUCGGGUUGUAAAGCUCUUUAGCCGACGAUUAUAAUGACUGUAGUCGGAGAAUAAGCCCCGGCUAACUUCGUGCCAGCAGCCGCGGUAAUACGAAGGGGGCGAGCGUUAUUCGGAAUCACUGGGCGUAAAGCGUGCGUAGGCGGUCUCACAAGUUGGGAGUGAAAGCCCAGGGCUCAACCUUGGAAUUGCUCUCAAAACUGUAAGACUUGAAUCCGGGAGAGGAUAGCGGAAUUUCCAGUGUAGUAGUGAAAUACGUAGAUAUUGGAAGGAACACCAGUGGCGUAAGCGGCUAUCUGGACCGGCAUUGACGCUGAGGCACGAAAGCGUGGGGAGCAAA
This 400-nucleotide ribosomal RNA is filed under the name uncultured bacterium. RNAcentral describes it as "bacterial SSU rRNA". It matches the Rfam family "Bacterial small subunit ribosomal RNA", at positions 355 to 772 of the family's 1533-position model. The record is from RNAcentral.